AAUGGACCUGAGUAGGAAGGUGUGUGUGGAAGAAGGUUCCAGAAGACCUUGCGAUGGUCCUUGUGAAGGUCUGUGAGGGGGUGAGCUUGCUGGAGGAGUAAAAAGAGUGAAAGG
This 114-nucleotide long non-coding RNA is filed under the name Chinchilla lanigera (long-tailed chinchilla). RNAcentral describes it as "T-cell leukemia/lymphoma 6 conserved region 1 (ENSCLAG00000020809.1)". It matches the Rfam family "T-cell leukemia/lymphoma 6 conserved region 1". Lineage: Eukaryota; Metazoa; Chordata; Mammalia; Rodentia; Chinchillidae. The record is from RNAcentral.